CAUGCAGUCGAGCGGAAGGCCCUUCGGGGUACUCGAGCGGCGAACGGGUGAGUAACACGUGAGCAACCUGCCCCAGGCUUUGGGAUAACCCCGGGAAACCGGGGCUAAUACCGAAUAUGACCUCUGACCGCAUGGUUGGUGGUGGAAAGUUUUUCGGCUUGGGAUGGGCUCGCGGCCUAUCAGCUUGUUGGUGGGGUGAUGGCCUACCAAGGCGACGACGGGUAGCCGGCCUGAGAGGGCGACCGGCCACACUGGGACUGAGACACGGCCCAGACUCCUACGGGAGGCAGCAGUGGGGAAUAUUGCACAAUGGGCGGAAGCCUGAUGCAGCGACGCCGCGUGAGGGAUGACGGCCUUCGGGUUGUAAACCUCUUUCAGCAGGGACGAAGCGUAAGUGACGGUACCUGCAGAAGAAGCGCCGGCCAACUACGUGCCAGCAGCCGCGGUAAGACGUAGGGCGCGAGCGUUGUCCGGAUUUAUUGGGCGUAAAGAGCUCGUAGGCGGCUUGUCGCGUCGACCGUGAAAACUUGGGGCUCAACCCCAAGCCUGCGGUCGAUACGGGCAGGCUAGAGUUCGGUAGGGGAGACUGGAAUUCCUGGUG
This 601-nucleotide ribosomal RNA is filed under the name Micromonospora sp. RNAcentral describes it as "bacterial SSU rRNA". It matches the Rfam family "Bacterial small subunit ribosomal RNA", at positions 54 to 675 of the family's 1533-position model. The record is from RNAcentral. Lineage: Bacteria; Bacillati; Actinomycetota; Actinomycetes; Micromonosporales; Micromonosporaceae.